RNAcentral lists this ribosomal RNA (2263 nucleotides) under Anchistropus emarginatus. RNAcentral's name for it is "SSU rRNA". It matches the Rfam family "Eukaryotic small subunit ribosomal RNA". Lineage: Eukaryota; Metazoa; Arthropoda; Branchiopoda; Diplostraca; Chydoridae. The record is from RNAcentral.
UUGUUUUCAAAGAUUAAGCCAUGCAUGUCUAAGUACAACCCGCUUGACGGGGAAACCGCGAAUGGCUCAAUAAAUCAGUUAUGGUUCCUUAGAUCCACCCAUCCUACUUGGAUAACUGUGGCAAUUCUAGAGCUAAUACAUGCACUCAAGCCCUGACUCGGGCCGCUGCGGGGGCAACUCUGCGACGGUUUUGUAGAAAGGGUGCUUUUAUUAGAUCAAAACCAGUCGGCGGUCUUGCGGACGUCAAACUCCGUUAAAACCGCCGUUCCGUUUGGUGACUCUGGAUAACUUCUCGCGGAUCGCACGGUCUCGUACCGGCGACGCGUCUUUCAAAUGUCUGCCUUAUCAACUGUCGAUGGUAGGUUAUGCGCCUACCAUGGUUGCAACGGGUAACGGGGAAUCGGGGUUCGAUUCCGGAGAGGGAGCCUGAGAAACGGCUACCACAUCCAAGGAAGGCAGCAGGCGCGCAAAUUACCCACUCCCGGCACGGGGAGGUAGUGACGAAAAAUAACGAUACGGGACUCUUCCGAGGCCCCGUGAUUGGAAUGAGUACACUUUAAAUCCUUUAACGAGGACCCAUUGGAGGGCAAGUCUGGUGCCAGCAGCCGCGGUAACUCCAGCUCCAAUAGCGUAUAUUAAAGUUGUUGCGGUUAAAAAGCUCGUAGUCGGAUGUCUGUCUUCGGCCGGGCGUCGACUCGCUCUGAAUUAAGGGUGGUCGAUAUCGCUCUGCGGUGGGUGCCGGUGUCAUAGCCGUCCCACUGCUUAACGGUCGGACAACACCGCCGGAGUGUCGACGCUACUCGCUUGUUUUGGGUCUUUUCGGUGUUUAACAAAAAUCUCUCCCCCUUGGGGGGGAAUCUUUGUCAUCGACUUGACCCGCUUGAGAUGAGGGCCCGACCGUAAUCGUGCGGGGUGCCUUUAACCGGGUGUCCCGCACGGCCGGCACUGUUUACUUUGAACAAAACUGAGUGCUCAAAGCAGGUGAUUUAUCGCCCGAAAGAUGCAGCAUGGAAUGAUAAAAGAGGACCUCGGUCUUAUUUUGCUGGUCUUUUUUCUUUAGACCCGAGGUAAUGAUCAAUAGAGACAGACGGGGGCAUCCGUACUGCUGCGACAGAGGUGAAAUUCUUGGACCGCAGCAAGACGAACAACAGCGAAGGCAUUUGCCAAGAAUGUUUUCCUUGAUCAAGAACGAAAGUUAGAGGCUCGAAGGCGAUCAGAUACCGCCCUAGUUCUAACCAUAAACGAUGCCAACCAGCAAUCCGCCGGUGUUACUCCCAUGACUCGGCGGGCGGCUUCCGGGAAACCAAAGUCUUUGGGUUCCGGGGGAAGUAUGGUUGCAAAGCUGAAACUUAAAGGAAUUGACGGAAGGGCACCACCAGGAGUGGAGCCUGCGGCUUAAUUUGACUCAACACGGGAAACCUCACCAGGCCCGGACACUGGAAGGAUUGACAGAUUGAGAGCUCUUUCUUGAUUCGGUGGGUGGUGGUGCAUGGCCGUUCUUAGUUGGUGGAGCGAUUUGUCUGGUUAAUUCCGAUAACGAACGAGACUCUAGCCUGCUAAAUAGGUGACUGGUUUUUUGAAUUGAAAAAAUCGAGGGGGUUUCUCUGGGCGGGAACCGGGCCUUUCUGUCGGCUGUCGGUUGUACUUUUCUUUUCUUUUUACCCCUUCGGUCAGAUGGUCGGUGAGUGUUUUGAUUCGCGUCACUACAUCUCUCUCGGUCGGACGGACGUGGGGGUUUUUAAAAAAAAGAUUGUCACCGGUAGUUUGGUGGAUCGGUCCCCCGCUUUAAGGGGAGCCCUCGCGUCAGUCACACAUCUUCUUAGAGGGACAAGCGGCGUCCAGCCGCGUGACAGUGAGCAAUAACAGGUCUGUGAUGCCCUUAGAUGUCCUGGGCCGCACGCGCGCUACACUGAAGGAAUCAGCGUGUAUCACUCUCCCUGUCCGAAAGGACCGGGUAACCGCUGAACCUCCUUCGUGGUUGGGAUUGGGGACUGCAAUGAUCCCCAUGAACCAGGAAUCCCUAGUAGGCGCGGGUCACUAGCCCGCGUCGAUUACGUCCCUGCCCUUUGUACACACCGCCCGUCGCUACUACCGAUUGAAUGAUUUAGUGAGGCCUUCGGACGGGCCCGUCGGGGUUAACUGCAUUCGGGGGGCAACCCCCGAGUGUUUGAUUUCCUAUUCACGGCGGGACUGAAAGAUGUCCGAACUUGAUCCUUAGAGGAAGUAAAAGUCGUAACAAGGUUUCCGUAGGUGAACCUGCAGU